RNAcentral lists this long non-coding RNA (711 nucleotides) under Equus caballus (horse). RNAcentral describes it as "lncRNA (ENSECAG00000033776.3)". Lineage: Eukaryota; Metazoa; Chordata; Mammalia; Perissodactyla; Equidae. The record is from RNAcentral.
GGCGUCUGCUCCCCGCGCUGCUGCCCCCGGACGCCGGGGCUUUCCUCUGGCCCGGACUCUAAGCCCCGCGCACCCUCUCUCAGCCCGCGUCUGUCUCUCCGGGCCUCUCCCGCCGCCUCUGCCAUCACGGUUGCUCCCUCCUCCGUCCUUGCCCCGGCCUCCGUCCUCACAUCCCGGGCACUCUUCCGUUGUCCCUGUGUGCCCUUCUCCGCCCCUGCCCCUGUCGGGGAUCUCUUCUUCCACCUCCCUAGGUUUCCUCUCAGGCUUUUCUCUUUUCCACCGCUUCAUCUUCUGCCUUUCCAGUCUCCACAUUGUUCUCUUCUUUUUUCUUCUCGGAAGACCAGAUGCCAUUUGGGGUGGAGAGUACGGAGUCCUGGUGAUAGGGGAUCGUGGUCCCACACGCGAGAACAGAGGUGCCCAACAUCUGGAAAUCAGAGUCCCAGCGCUGCUGAACAUCUGGAGCGCUAAUCGCAGGAGCCGAGAGCGGCCCCGGAGUCUGCACCACAGGCUGGGAAUCCGCCUCAGCGGAAUACUGAGAGCCGCCCCGCGCCGCCAGUGCCCCUGCGUGUCCUCCCAUCAGCGGAGCCCUAGGUCCGCUAGGAAAGGUUAAUGGCCCUGCGCCCCACUCCCACCUCCACUGCGGGCCUGGAGCGUGCAGGUGAGGGGGAUAUGGUUAAACGACGACCAGGGGAGGGGAGUGGAAGAAGGACC